CCUGUCUUCUAUGUUCCUUUAAAGGCGGUUGUGGCUCAGGAGGAAGAGGGUGGGUGUCUACUGUUAAGAAAGAGGGUGGUCCAAGCUCUGGCUCCUUCAAUCUAGAUGUUGAAGUAUCUCUAAAGAUGCCAAACCCUGAGAUGCCCUGGAUGCAUCCAUCAGAGUAUAAAGGAGGAGUUCAAGAGAAUAACCACUGUAAGCCUUGAAUGGCUACACUUGACCAUUGCACCCCAAAACUGAUGGAUGUCAUUUUAUCAAGGGGAGGAGCUAAGGGAGUGAGAAUCAGGCAGAUCAAGGACAUGCUUCUUGAGCACAAUACAAUUGAAACACGCAGAGAAGUAGCCAUCUGCUGCCUUAUCACUUUCCUUGGAGAGAAGGACGAGGACCUUUUCAUGGAGUUUGGUGUAAGUAAUUCAGCAUUGUGUGUGUGUGUGUAUGUGUGUGUGUCUGUGUGUGUUCCAUUGAUCAUCUGAAUUCAUUAAGAUUCAGUAAGUAUAAAAGUCUAAUCUAUAAUUCACUAACCUAUUUUUUAAAAUUUGCUUUACAAGGACACCAAAGAACUUAAGGCAGGUGAUGAAAACUGCCAUCAUCAGUGACCGGUACACCCCUGGAUCUAACCAUAAGACUGCAACCAUUGUGGUGGAGGAAACAAAAAUAAUGGAGGGCCAGAAUUUCCCAAGGUGCUGUGUUUUGCUCAUGGGCAUAAUAUAUGCUCUCAAUCUGAGCUAAUGCAAAUAUACUUUUGAAGUUGUUCAGAAGCUGUUCCUUGACCUUGAUGGAACCAUCAUUAUGUUAAAGAUGUUGACUCUGUUUCAAAAAUUGUUAACUGUUUUGAAUCCUGUAUGUGUAAAAUUGAUCUUAAAGGUGUUUGCUACAUUGUGUAAUAGAAAGAUGCAAGAUCUUGUAAAGUUUGGUAGGCAUUGAAAGUUAACAUUUACUGAACACUUGCAUGGAAGU
This is a long non-coding RNA of Astatotilapia calliptera (eastern happy), 957 nucleotides long. Lineage: Eukaryota; Metazoa; Chordata; Actinopteri; Cichliformes; Cichlidae. The record is from Ensembl.